UAUCUGAUAGGGAAUAUGCCAGCAAGAACCUGGACAUAGUCACCGUAUAAAGCAUACCAAAUGAACCUGUACUACUGAAGGCUCCCUGAGGACAAGUGGGAUCCAGCUUCAAUGUAGACGUCUAAAGAAAAGGAUGAUAGGAAAUGCUCCUUCACAGCAUAUGGUCAGCCACUGAGGAUACUUAAGCUUACCUGAGGCAGACAGAGUGAGUUAUGUUUCCCACUAAAUAGGGGAGAUUGAUUUAGUAAUGACAAAAGCUGACUGGAAUUCCUAUA
RNAcentral lists this long non-coding RNA (275 nucleotides) under Numida meleagris (helmeted guineafowl). RNAcentral's name for it is "lncRNA (ENSNMEG00000005527.1)". The record is from RNAcentral. Lineage: Eukaryota; Metazoa; Chordata; Aves; Galliformes; Numididae.